Molecule: transfer RNA, 78 nt
Filed under: Gemmatimonadetes bacterium RIFCSPLOWO2_02_FULL_71_11
Lineage: Bacteria; Pseudomonadati; Gemmatimonadota
Also listed under: 1 other name
Description: tRNA-Asp
Rfam family: tRNA
About the family: Transfer RNA (tRNA) molecules are approximately 80 nucleotides in length.
Source: RNAcentral
GGGGCUGUAGCUCAGCUUGGUUAGAGUGCCGGUCUGUCACACCGGAGGUCGCGGGUUCGAGCCCCGUCAGCCCCGCCA